RNAcentral lists this small RNA (28 nucleotides) under Bombyx mori (domestic silkworm). RNAcentral describes it as "ovarian small RNA-7816". The record is from RNAcentral. Lineage: Eukaryota; Metazoa; Arthropoda; Insecta; Lepidoptera; Bombycidae.
UCUUCGUCUUAACGAUACCGAAAUGAGC